GUUGCAAUCGAUACCCUUUUUUCCCUGUUUGGGUUUGUUUGUUCGGAGUCGGAUAUAAGUCCAUUUAUUGGCAUUCUGUUUCCUAUUGGUGUUUGUUCGUUCGGAGUCGGAUGUAAGUCCAUUCAUUGGCAUUCUGUUUCCUGUUUGCGUUUGUUUGUUCGGAGUCGGAUGUAAGUCCAUCUAUUGGCAUUCUGUUUCCUUGGUGUGUUUGUUUCGACGUCUCAGCGUCUCUGUUCAGUGUUUUGUUUCGGCGUGCGUUAGCCGAGCUACGAGUGCUCUGAUUCUUUCUCUAGUUAGAGAAGAUACGUAUGCAUAGGAUGCGAUGUCCUAGCGAGCACGUUCCCCAUUUCCCCGAACUACGUCGACUCUAAUGUUUGUUUCUGACAAACUACGUAGGCCUAGGAUGUGAUAUCCUUCCGAGUCCCCUUCCUCCAUCUUCUUUCACCUGUUUCUUAUUCUAGUGUGUGUGCAUUCUUUGAGUAGUUUAUUUAGCAACCUUAUUCUAUUCUUUUGAGCGUGGAUCCCGUCGAGUACGACGGACGUGAGGGGUGCUAAUACCUUCCCCUUGCGUAACCGACUCCCGUACCUUGCAAUCUCUGGUCGUAAGACCAUUCCUUUCCCUUUUUCAGGUUUACUUCGAGCGUUUCCUUUCCCUCCUUUGGGAUAAAUAACGCACGGUGGCGGCUCUGUGUCUUUUCCCGCCGGUUGUUUUUCACAUUGCGACAGAAGCAAAAUGCAAAAAUGCAAAUGAAGCUCAUGUAGCCAUACUCCACGUGUACAGUCCCAUGCAAGGCUUGGAAUUCACUCAAAAUCAUCCGAUGGUCAUGAUUUGAUGAUUAAUUUGCUUGCACCUUAAGCCAAAAAUGAAUUGUGAAUAUUUUCUUCCAAAUGAACAUGUGUGAAAUAGUGAGAAUACAAGCCAUGAUUCCUU
This 931-nucleotide long non-coding RNA is filed under the name Lathyrus oleraceus (garden pea). RNAcentral's name for it is "Pisum sativum (pea) long non-coding RNA (PSAT_LNC011707)". Lineage: Eukaryota; Viridiplantae; Streptophyta; Magnoliopsida; Fabales; Fabaceae. The record is from RNAcentral.